RNAcentral lists this ribosomal RNA (508 nucleotides) under uncultured bacterium. Its description in RNAcentral is "partial 16S ribosomal RNA". It matches the Rfam family "Bacterial small subunit ribosomal RNA", at positions 28 to 507 of the family's 1533-position model. The record is from RNAcentral.
GACGAACGCUGGCGGCGUGCCUAAUACAUGCAAGUCGAACGCUUCUUUCCUCCCGAGUGCUUGCACUCAAUUGGAAAGAGGAGUGGCGGACGGGUGAGUAACACGUGGGUAACCUACCCAUCAGAGGGGGAUGACACUUGGAAACAGGUGCUAAUACCGCAUAAAAGUUUAUGCCGCAUGGCAUAAGAGUGAAAGGCGCUUUCGGGUGUCGCUGAUGGAUGGACCCGCGGUGCAUUAGCUAGUUGGUGAGGUAACGGCUCACCAAGGCCACGAUGCAUAGCCGACCUGAGAGGGUGAUCGGCCACACUGGGACUGAGACACGGCCCAGACUCCUACGGGAGGCAGCAGUAGGGAAUCUUCGGCAAUGGACGAAAGUCUGACCGAGCAACGCCGCGUGAGUGAAGAAGGUUUUCGGAUCGUAAAACUCUGUUGUUAGAGAAGAACAAGGACGUUAGUAACUGAACGUCCCCUGACGGUAUCUAACCAGAAAGCCACGGCUAACUACGUG